This 877-nucleotide ribosomal RNA is filed under the name Dufourea capensis. RNAcentral's name for it is "partial 23S ribosomal RNA". The stretch from base 1 to 449 matches the Rfam family "Bacterial large subunit ribosomal RNA", at positions 939 to 1301 of the family's 2925-position model. The record is from RNAcentral. Lineage: Eukaryota; Fungi; Ascomycota; Lecanoromycetes; Teloschistales; Teloschistaceae.
CAGGUAGUAUUUGUUCUCGAAAGGGCUUCGAUUAAUAUUGAAUAAUCAGACAUAGUACGCUAAGGUUGUAUGUCUAAAGGGAAACAGCCCAGAACAAGUGUAAAUAAGGUUCCAAAAUUAUUGUUAAGUGAAACAAAGGUAGUUUAUCUUUUAAACGUCCAGGAAAUUGGCUUAGAGGCGGCCAUUUUUUAAAGAUCUCGUAACAGAGCACUGGUUUUAUUAUAAAUAUAUAUAAUAUAUUUAUAUGUCGAGAUAUGCACUGACGAUUCCACGGAUCUAAAUAAUAUACCGAAACCUUGUCCAUGUUUAUUUAUAUAUAUGCUUGUGUAUAUAGUAUAAAAUGUGUUAUAUAUAUGAGUUAUAUAUAAUAGAAUGGGGUAGCGGAACAUUGGGCAAACCACACUUUUUUUUUAUAAAAAUUUUUAGGUACCCCAAGUGAUAAUGCUGACAUGAGUAACGAUAAAGGGAUAAAUCCCUCGCCUAAAGCUUAUGGUAUUUAGUUAAAGUAACGGCCUCUAAGUUUAUUAAUAAAAAACUAAAGUAUAUUACCUGAUUUACGGAUAAUAAUUAAAAGUAUUUUAGUUAACCUAAAGGAUUAAACGAUGAGCAAAUCUUUAGAAUAAAAAUAUAUAUAAAUAACAUUUUAAACAAUUUUUCUUCGUUAGACUUUCGUCAGACUUUCGUUAGACUUUCGUUAGACUUUGGUCAGACUUUCGUUAGAAAAGUGUAAAAGUGAAAAGUGUUCUGGAAAAUUGUAUUUUUUACCGCUUUACCUAAAACGUGUGGAUGUUACACACUCGUGGAAGAUAAACUAAAUAGAUGAACCAAUUUAAAGUGGUUACCGUACCUAGAUACUAGCACAAGUAAGCAAGUAGAG